AGUUGCGAUCAUACCAGCACUAAUGCACCAGAUCCCAUCAGAACUCCGUAGUUAAGCGUGCUUGGGCGAGAGUAGUACUAGGAUGGGUGACCCCCUGGGAAGUCCUCGUGUUGCAACCCC
Molecule: ribosomal RNA, 120 nt
Filed under: Helianthus annuus (common sunflower)
Lineage: Eukaryota; Viridiplantae; Streptophyta; Magnoliopsida; Asterales; Asteraceae
Source: RNAcentral